Molecule: non-coding RNA, 639 nt
Organism: Pelobates cultripes (western spadefoot toad)
Lineage: Eukaryota; Metazoa; Chordata; Amphibia; Anura; Pelobatidae
Source: the annotation of a GenBank genome assembly
CAAAUGGCACUGAUGUUUCAGUGAGCACAGUAAAGCACAUACUAAAUACAGAAGGUUUCCAUGCUAGAACUCCAAGACGUACACCUCUACUGACAAGAAAGAUCGGCUCCAAUAUGCUCAAAAUCAUGUAAUCAAGACACAGAAGUUUAAAGAUUCUGUUCUGUGGAGUGAUGAAACAAAACUGGAACUUUGCGGUCUGGAGGAAGAAAAAUCAAGCAUAUGCUGAAAAUAUCACUCUGCCUUUAAGCAUGGUGGUGGCUCGAUGAUGCUUUGGGGCUGCUUUGCUUUCUCUAUCAAUGGAAAUCUGCAGAGUGUGGAAGGUAAGAUGGGUUCACUGAAGAAUCAGGAAAUCCUGGGAGAAAACAUCAUGCUGUCUGUGAGGAAAGUGAAACGUGGGCAUCAUUUAACCUUCCAACAAGAUAAUGAUCCCAAGCAUACCUCAAAUUUCACCAAACCUUGCUUGGCGAAGAAUUCCUGGAAAAUUCUACAGUGGCCGUCACAGUUGCAGCACGCAAAUGCAAGAAUAUUACUGAACUGGAGGCCAUUGCUCAUGAGCAAUGGGCUAAGACGUCUCAGGAACGCUGCCAGAAGCUGGUGUCUGGCUAUGAAUCUCAUUUACAGCAGGUCAUAAUAGUAAGG